RNAcentral lists this transfer RNA (69 nucleotides) under Rattus norvegicus (Norway rat). It matches the Rfam family "tRNA". Rfam says of the family: Transfer RNA (tRNA) molecules are approximately 80 nucleotides in length. Their secondary structure includes four short double-helical elements and three loops (D, anti-codon, and T loops). Further hydrogen bonds mediate the characteristic L-shaped molecular structure. tRNAs have two regions of fundamental functional importance: the anti-codon, which is responsible for specific mRNA codon recognition, and the 3' end, to which the tRNAs corresponding amino acid is attached (by aminoacyl-tRNA synthetases). tRNAs cope with the degeneracy of the genetic code in two manners: having more than one tRNA (with a specific anti-codon) for a particular amino acid; and 'wobble' base-pairing, i.e. permitting non-standard base-pairing at the 3rd anti-codon position. Lineage: Eukaryota; Metazoa; Chordata; Mammalia; Rodentia; Muridae. The record is from Rfam by way of RNAcentral.
GGGGAUUUAGCUUAGUGGUAGAGCACUUGCCUAGGAAGCGCAAGGCCCUGGGUUCGGUUCCCAGCUCCG